UCCCAGAUGAGCAUGCUUGGCAGUUUCUC
This 29-nucleotide non-coding RNA is filed under the name Rattus norvegicus (Norway rat). The record is from RNAcentral. Lineage: Eukaryota; Metazoa; Chordata; Mammalia; Rodentia; Muridae.